AGAGCCAAAGGAACUGUCAGUUGGGGGUGUCAGUUAACUAUACUAACUGCUGCACUUCCUCCAGGAGGAGAUCUGAGCAGUACACCUCCAUGACAGCAUAUCACCAAUAUGUCUAGAAGGUAAAGUUUUAAGCUUUCAUGUUUAGCUGAAGACUACUUGAUUGACCCCUAAAUGUCUGGAAACUUCACUUCAGGAAACUCUCCUCCACAAAUUUGAGGAAUAAAAGUUGAGGCAACAUCUGGGUUAAAAUUGUACAGAAGUGGAAUAGUUAAGAGAUGCUGCUCAUCAUGCAUUUAUUUCUAUUGGUGGAGAAGCUCAAAGCCAUUUCCUGGUAUGGAGCCGAGAGCUGAUACUUUCUUCUCCACAUUUGAGAGCUUUUUACCAAGUGUUCAAUAGCUUCCAUGGUGAUGAUGGUGCUUUAGAAGUCAUUGGCAUUAGGAAAGCAGAACCUCAUAGAACUUUCUUCCCCAAUAAAAUCAUCUUUUAAAACUG
Canis lupus familiaris (dog) is the source of this 492-nucleotide long non-coding RNA. RefSeq lists it as uncharacterized. The transcript is spliced from 2 exons. The record is from RefSeq and is a predicted model, not a curated record. Lineage: Eukaryota; Metazoa; Chordata; Mammalia; Carnivora; Canidae.